AUAUAAACACCUUCUCCUCUCAUUCUAAAACACACAUUCCUUGAUCCAUUUCAUCUCCUUGUCUCACCAUUUCCUCUCCAAUUUCCUUAGUUAUCACGUCCUCUCUUCUCAUUCUCUCACACAUCUCUUCCAUCACAUAUACACACCAUCCACUGCCCUAAAUCAGAAACCACACCUCCAUACUCUCCCCUUAUCAUAGCUCAUGAGAUCCCUACUCCAAGGAGAAGCCGUAGCCUCCAUCUUCCAUCAAAUCAUCUUCCAUCAUCUUGUCGUACUCCUACUUUGAAGACGCCUCAAGCUUUCUUGAAGAAUAAUCAAAGGUAAUUUUGUGCGCUUAAUUCAGGCGUACCACUAGCCUAGCAUAUUAACUAUGUUUUGAUCUUGUGUUUCUCAAGCAACAUACUCACUGGAUACGGUCCCAGUACCAUCAGCAACUUAUCUUGAUGAGAACAUGAGUUGUAGGACUGUUACAUGUUUUCUACAACGUAUUGUAUGUGCUUGAUUGAGAUGGCAAGGCAAGCUGGGCCAACUGAGACUGGAAGUUGUCCCAAGUAAGAGGAAACUAAUCAACAUGCAAAAAGUUGCGAAGAAGUUAUGUGGCAGAAUGUGUAGUUGGUGGAUUUUGUACCACACAUGUAUUCCCACCUAGCUUUGAAUUAAGGAAGGUCUAGAGGACCUGGGUGCUUUUGGAUACCAAUAUCCAACUUUCCAUGUAAGCUUCUUUGGUUUCUUUCGCUCAGAUGGCAAGGCAAGCUACAAUGAAAUCAGUGCUUGAAGUCAUUCUAGACCAUAAACUAGGUAUACUAUUAUACUCUUAAGAAAUGUAUAAAGCAAACAAACCUGCGGCAUCGUGCUGGAGGUAUUACUUAGUUUAUUUUAUUUUGAUGUUUGAUU
Molecule: long non-coding RNA, 894 nt
Filed under: Rosa chinensis
Lineage: Eukaryota; Viridiplantae; Streptophyta; Magnoliopsida; Rosales; Rosaceae
Description: sRNA RchiOBHm_Chr3g0464431
Source: RNAcentral